Molecule: unclassified non-coding RNA, 226 nt
Filed under: uncultured bacterium
Lineage: Bacteria
Description: contains 16S-23S intergenic spacer region
Source: RNAcentral
UCACUACUUGCGUAGGAUUGUCCACCGUUGUCUAGCCCAGGUAAGGUUCUUCGCGUUGCGUCGAAUUGAACCACAUGCUCCACCGCUUGUGCGGGCCCCCGUCAAUUCCUUUGAGUUUUAGCCUUGCGGCCGUACUCCCCAGGCGGGGCACUUAAUGCGUUAGCUCCGGCACGGGAGGAGUCGACACCUCCCACACCUAGUGCCCAUCGUUUACGGCGUGGACUAC